RNAcentral lists this ribosomal RNA (141 nucleotides) under Bacilli bacterium. Its description in RNAcentral is "partial 23S ribosomal RNA". It matches the Rfam family "Bacterial large subunit ribosomal RNA", at positions 2784 to 2925 of the family's 2925-position model. The record is from RNAcentral. Lineage: Bacteria; Bacillati; Bacillota; Bacilli.
AGCGGGAAGCCAACUUCAAGAUGAGUUUUCCCAUUCUUUAAGAAGUAAGAUCCCUUGAAGACUACAAGGUUGAUAGGCUGGAGAUGGAAGCAUAGUGAUAUGUUGAGUUGACCAGUACUAAUAGAUCGAGGAUUUAACUUA